GCAGUCGAACGAGAUCUUCGGAUCUAGUGGCGGACGGGUGAGUAACGCGUGGGAACGUGCCCCUUGGUACGGAAUAGUCCCGGGAAACUGGGUUUAAUACCGUAUAUUCUCUUCGGAGGAAAGAUUUAUCGCCAAGGGAUCGGCCCGCGUUGGAUUAGGUAGUUGGUGGGGUAAUGGCCUACCAAGCCUACGAUCCAUAGCUGGUUUGAGAGGAUGAUCAGCCACACUGGGACUGAGACACGGCCCAGACUCCUACGGGAGGCAGCAGUGGGGAAUCUUAGACAAUGGGGGAAACCCUGAUCUAGCCAUGCCGCGUGAUCGAUGAAGGCCUUAGGGUUGUAAAGAUCUUUCGCUGGGGAAGAUAAUGACGGUACCCAGUAAAGAAGCCCCGGCUAACUCCGUGCCAGCAGCCGCGGUAAUACGGAGGGGGCUAGCGUUGUUCGGAAUUACUGGGCGUAAAGCGCGCGUAGGCGGAUUGGAAAGUUGGGGGUGAAAUCCCGGGGCUCAACCCCGGAACUGCCUCCAAAACUAUCAGUCUGGAGUUCGAGAGAGGUGGAUGGAAUUGCGAGUGUAGAGGUGAAAUUCGUAGAUAUUCGCAGGAACACCAGUGGCGGAAGGCGGCUCACUGGCUCGAUACU
This 638-nucleotide ribosomal RNA is filed under the name bacterium SVAL1.25. Its description in RNAcentral is "bacterial SSU rRNA". It matches the Rfam family "Bacterial small subunit ribosomal RNA", at positions 57 to 741 of the family's 1533-position model. The record is from RNAcentral.